AGGCUUACACAAUGAAGCGCUCACUCAAUUUUCUCAGUUGAUGUUGAGCUGUGAAUCUCUUCACUCCAACUUUUUAUACGAAGAGGAAAUUUGUAAAGAAAAUGACUUAUUCAAAAAGUACAUCCGGUCUGGUCUUUAUUUGAGCUGGUGCCUUUUCCACGUGGCUGACUACACGCUUUGCGAUUCGCUGCUUGAGCAUCUCAUUAAAAAAGGACUUACUCGUGACUUACACCAGUCAGAAACCGAAUUUUUAAAUAAAGAAAAGGAAAAUCUUUUUUCAAUUAAUACGCAUGCGCAGCUUCUUUCGUUGAGGGGAAGAUUAAACCUUUUUUACGGAGAUUUAACUGCUGCAGAGACCUUUUUUUCUGAAGCUGGUUUGCUGUCGACUGACCAAUCGACCUCAGAAAUGUGCAUUACCAAUCAGUUUCUCUUAAAAAUCGCUAACGAUGAUUUCUUUGGAGCUGAAAAGUGUCUUCGGGAAUUAUUGGCCUUUCAAACUGAUUUUCUGAAGUCUUCUGCGGAUCCUCAAGAAGCUGCAUGUUUAUUUACGCGCACAAUACCAACUUUAUCUAAUCUGGCGGUUUGUG
Molecule: long non-coding RNA, 587 nt
Organism: Zophobas morio
Lineage: Eukaryota; Metazoa; Arthropoda; Insecta; Coleoptera; Tenebrionidae
Exons: 4
Source: RefSeq, a predicted model, not a curated record